Molecule: non-coding RNA, 76 nt
Organism: Acanthosepion pharaonis
Lineage: Eukaryota; Metazoa; Mollusca; Cephalopoda; Sepiida; Sepiidae
Source: the annotation of a GenBank genome assembly
UUACGGUCAAAUCACGCUGAAACACCGGUUCUCGUACGAUCACCGAAGUUAAGCAGCGUAGAGCCAGGUCAGUACU